RNAcentral lists this ribosomal RNA (137 nucleotides) under uncultured bacterium. RNAcentral's name for it is "partial 16S ribosomal RNA". It matches the Rfam family "Bacterial small subunit ribosomal RNA", at positions 1364 to 1500 of the family's 1533-position model. The record is from RNAcentral.
GAAUACGUUCCCGGGUCUUGUACACACCGCCCGUCACACCAUGGGAGCCGACAACGCCCGAAGUCAGUGACCUAACCGAGAGGGAGGAGCUGCCGAAGGCGGGGUUGGUAACUGGGGUGAAGUCGUAACAAGGUAUC